Molecule: ribosomal RNA, 253 nt
Filed under: uncultured bacterium
Lineage: Bacteria
Description: partial 16S ribosomal RNA
Rfam family: Bacterial small subunit ribosomal RNA
Source: RNAcentral
UACGGGGGGGGCAAGCGUUGUUCGGAAUUACUGGGCGUAAAGGGCUCGUAGGCGGCCAACUAAGUCGGAUGUGAAAUCCCCAGGCUCAACCGGGGAACUGCGUCUGAUACUGGAUGGCUUGAGUUCGGGAGAGGGAUGCGGAAUUCCAGGUGUAGCGGUGAAAUGCGUAGAUAUCUGGAGGAACACCGGUGGCGAAGGCGGCAUCCUGGACCGGUAUUGACGCUGAGGCGCGAAAGCCAGGGGAGCAAACGGG